UCUAAGGCAGGCACGGCUAACACAGGUUAUGGAGAAAACCGGAGAACCCGAAGGAAACCCUUGAAUCAAAGGAGAGACCUAACAAACUCUACUCACAUAGAUGGAAGGAGGUAAACUUGGCUUUCAAAGAACAGCUCUAGAGUACUUUUGAAUGGAAAAAGUAUGGCAACUUCAACACUCUUAAACAAAGUGUUUAGCUUUUCCUGCAUUUCAGACCACGUGUCAUUCUCUUGAGUAUAGGAUCAUUUGUUUGAGUCGUGGUCGAUCGCUUACAGAAGAUGGUUGCAAUAUAAAACUACUGUAUUACAAAAUAUGAAACUUCUUAGGAAAGACCUAUUGUCUCUCGCCUUAACCGAAAUGGUCGGUUAUAGAAGGUGGUCACUUACUGAGUAGUUGAUACGAUAAAACCUGUUAUGACCGACCAACGACCAACCUUGUUAUAACAAAUGAACUUGCUGAUAACAAAAAAAAAAAAAAAA
This is a long non-coding RNA of Actinia tenebrosa (Australian red waratah sea anemone), 479 nucleotides long. Lineage: Eukaryota; Metazoa; Cnidaria; Anthozoa; Actiniaria; Actiniidae. The record is from RefSeq and is a predicted model, not a curated record.